This 197-nucleotide unclassified non-coding RNA is filed under the name plant metagenome. RNAcentral describes it as "partial contains small subunit ribosomal RNA, internal transcribed spacer 1, and 5.8S ribosomal RNA". The record is from RNAcentral.
UCUCCGUUGGUGAACCAGCGGAGGUAUCAUUACCGAGUGCAAACUCAUAACCCUUUGUGAACCUAUAUCUGUUGCUUCGGCGGCUCGCUCUCGGGCGAGCCCGCCGGUAAUAUCAGUAUCUCUGUUUGAACCCGACGAUACUUCUGAGUGUUCUUAGCGAACAGUUAAAACUUUUAACAACGGAUCUCUUGGCUCUU